GUGAGGAAUUUUCCGCAAUGGGCGAAAGCCUGACGGAGCAAUGCCGCGUGAAGGAUGAAGGCCUAUGGGUUGUAAACUUCUUUUCUCAGAAAAGAAUUAUGACGGUAUCUGAGGAAUAAGCAUCGGCUAACUCUGUGCCAGCAGCCGCGGUAAGACAGAGGAUGCAAGCGUUAUCCGGAAUGAUUGGGCGUAAAGCGUCUGUAGGUUGUUUAAAAAGUAUUCUGUCAAAGAUUAGGGCUUAACCCUAGAUAGGCAGAAUAAACUUUUAAGCUAGAGUUUGGUAGAGGCAGAUGGAAUUCCCGGUGGAGCGGUGAAAUGCGUAGAUAUCGGGAGGAACACCAAAGGCGAAGGCACUCUGCUGGGCCAAUACUAACACUGAGAGACGAAAGCGAGGGGAGCAAAUGGGAUUAGAAACCCCAGUAGUCC
RNAcentral lists this ribosomal RNA (426 nucleotides) under uncultured bacterium. Its description in RNAcentral is "bacterial SSU rRNA". It matches the Rfam family "Bacterial small subunit ribosomal RNA", at positions 354 to 796 of the family's 1533-position model. The record is from RNAcentral.